UACAGAGGGUGCGAGCGUUAAUCGGAAUUACUGGGCGUAAAGCGCGCGUAGGUGGUUAGUUAAGUUGGAUGUGAAAUCCCCGGGCUCAACCUGGGAACUGCAUUCAAAACUGACUGACUAGAGUAUGGUAGAGGGUGGUGGAAUUUCCUGUGUAGCGGUGAAAUGCGUAGAUAUAGGAAGGAACACCAGUGGCGAGGGCGACCAACUGGACUGAUACUGACACUGAGGUGCGAAAGCGUGGGGAGCAAACAGG
RNAcentral lists this ribosomal RNA (253 nucleotides) under uncultured Pseudomonas sp. Its description in RNAcentral is "partial 16S ribosomal RNA". It matches the Rfam family "Bacterial small subunit ribosomal RNA", at positions 524 to 776 of the family's 1533-position model. Lineage: Bacteria; Pseudomonadati; Pseudomonadota; Gammaproteobacteria; Pseudomonadales; Pseudomonadaceae. The record is from RNAcentral.